RNAcentral lists this transfer RNA (76 nucleotides) under Cotesia glomerata. RNAcentral describes it as "tRNA-Thr". It matches the Rfam family "tRNA". Rfam says of the family: Transfer RNA (tRNA) molecules are approximately 80 nucleotides in length. Their secondary structure includes four short double-helical elements and three loops (D, anti-codon, and T loops). Further hydrogen bonds mediate the characteristic L-shaped molecular structure. tRNAs have two regions of fundamental functional importance: the anti-codon, which is responsible for specific mRNA codon recognition, and the 3' end, to which the tRNAs corresponding amino acid is attached (by aminoacyl-tRNA synthetases). tRNAs cope with the degeneracy of the genetic code in two manners: having more than one tRNA (with a specific anti-codon) for a particular amino acid; and 'wobble' base-pairing, i.e. permitting non-standard base-pairing at the 3rd anti-codon position. Lineage: Eukaryota; Metazoa; Arthropoda; Insecta; Hymenoptera; Braconidae. The record is from RNAcentral.
GGCCUGGUAGCUUAACUGGUAGAGCUCCUGACGUGUUAUCAGGGAAAUCCAGGUUUAAUUCCUGGUUUGGUAAUCA